Molecule: long non-coding RNA, 488 nt
Filed under: Monodelphis domestica (gray short-tailed opossum)
Lineage: Eukaryota; Metazoa; Chordata; Mammalia; Didelphimorphia; Didelphidae
Description: lncRNA (ENSMODG00000047521.1)
Source: RNAcentral
CAGGAGGAAGCCCUGAUUUGUUCCAUCUCAUCUGGGCACAUCUGGUCUGGUCACCUGGGGAUUUAUGUUUUGGUGCUGGCCUGAGCAAAUCACCCUGCCUUGCCCCUCACCUACCUCCCACGAUAUCCAGGUGGAAUCAGGUUAAAGAGAAUAUCAAGGGCAGCCUUGAAGGGAAGAGGAUGAGCCAAAGAAAGCCGGAGAGGGCUGCGUAAAAGUAGAAGGAGUGGCGGCAGGGCUGGUUUGUAGGCUGAGAACACAAGGAGGUCAGGCUGCUUUUAGCACCAGCUUACAGAGUUAAACUGGAAGUUGUCAGAGAAGCCAAAGAAGAGGCCAGAGAGCACGCCACUUAUUCCUUUGUAUCCCUCAUCACCUACCGUGGUGCCUUAGCCAGGGUUUAUCCUUUGUGGACACGAAGUAGACGAACUACAAAUUGGAUGACUGAUGAAAAGUCCUGGUCCAGCUCUGCCCCACUGGAAGCCACACUGUAG